AACCUGGUUGAUCCUGCCAGUAGUCAUAUGCUUGUCUCAAAGAUUAAGCCAUGCAUGUGUAAGCACACACUGUUUAAAAGUGAAGCCGCGAAUGGCUCAUUACAACAGCCACAGUUUAUUAGAACUUACAAUCAUGGAUAACUGUGGUAAUUCUAGAGCUAAUACACGCACAAAAACUUCAACUGAAUUGGUUGAAGUGCUUUUAUUAGAACAAAAACCGAACGGCGUUUGACGAAUGUUGAACGUCGAAACUGUUUGGUGAAUCUGAAUAACUAUUUCUGAUCGCAUGGUCUAGCACCGGCGACAUCACUUUCAAGUGUCUGCCUUAUCAACCUUCGAUGGUAGUCUAUGCGACUACCAUGGUGAUAACGGGUAACGGAGAAUCAGGGUUCGACCCCGGAGAGGGAGCCUGAGAAACGGCUACCACAUCCAAGGAAGGCAGCAGGCGCGCAAAUUACCCACUCCCAGCUUGGGGAGGUAGUGACGAAAAAUAACGAGACGAUUCUCGUUUGAGAAACGUUAUCGAAAUGAGUACGCUUUACACACGCUAACGAGUAGCAAUUGGAGGGCAAGUCUGGUGCCAGCAGCCGCGGUAAUUCCAGCUCCAAUAGCGUAUAUUAAAGUUGCUGCGGUUAAAACGCUCGUAGUUGAAUUGUGGUCUUAGACAACAGUCCCCCUACAUAGGUGUGGCACGGUUGCUCGAGAUCUUCAUUCGUGGUUGCUGUUGUUGCUCUUCAUUGAGUGUCAAUGGUGCCUCGAGAUUUUACUUUGAAAAAAUUAGAGUGCUCAAAGCAGGUUGUGAUGCCUGAAUAAUGGUGCAUGGAAUAAUAGAAUACGAUCUCGGUUCUAUUUUGUUGGUUUUCGAACCGGAGAUAAUGAUUGAAAGGAACAGACGGGGGCAUUCGUAUUGCUGCGUUAGAGGUGAAAUUCUUGGAUCGCAGCAAGAUGAACAAUUGCGAAAGCAUUUGCCAAGAAUGUUUUCAUUAAUCAAGAACGAAAGUUAGAGGUUCGAAGGCGAUCAGAUACCGCCCUAGUUCUAACGGUAAACUAUGCCAACCAGCGAUUCGCCGAAGUUCAUUUAAGACUCGGCGAGCAGCUUCCGGGAAACCAAAGUGUUUCGGUUCCGGGGGAAGUAUGGUUGCAAAGCUGAAACUUAAAGGAAUUGACGGAAGGGCACCACCAGGAGUGGAGCCUGCGGCUUAAUUUGACUCAACACGGGAAAACUCACCCGGCCCGGACACUGGAAGGAUUGACAGAUUGACAGCUCUUUCUUGAUUCAGUGGGUAGUGGUGCAUGGCCGUUCUUAGUUGGUGGAGCGAUUUGUCUGGUUAAUUCCGAUAACGAACGAGACUCUACCCUAUUAAAUAGUGACAGUAUUGUAUUUUUUGUGCUGAUCACUUCUUAGAGGGACUGGCAAAUUGAAAGCUGCACGAAAAAGAGCAAUAACAGGUCUGUGAUGCCCUUCGAUGUCCGGGGCUGCACGCGCGCUACAAUGAAAGCGUCAACGUGAGUUACGUCCUUACCUGAAAAGGUUUGGCAAUCGAAUGAAACGUUUUCUUGAAUGGAAUAGGGAAUUGCAAUUGUUUCCCUUGAACGAGGAAUUCCCAGUAAGCGUGAGUCAUUAGCUCGCGUUGAUUACGUCCCUGCCCUUUGUACACACCGCCCGUCGCUACUACCGAUUGGAUGAUUUAGUGAGGUGUUUUGACUGGCGCCAGUAGUCGGAUGUAUUCGGCUUCGCGCCGGGAAAUUUCCCAAACCAAAUCAUCUAGAGGAAGUAAAAGUCGUAACAAGGUUUCCGUAGGUGAACCUGCGGAAGGAUCAUUA
RNAcentral lists this ribosomal RNA (1824 nucleotides) under Trichinella sp. T6. Its description in RNAcentral is "SSU rRNA". It matches the Rfam family "Eukaryotic small subunit ribosomal RNA". Lineage: Eukaryota; Metazoa; Nematoda; Enoplea; Trichinellida; Trichinellidae. The record is from RNAcentral.